Molecule: RNA transcript, 5764 nt
Organism: Coregonus clupeaformis (lake whitefish)
Lineage: Eukaryota; Metazoa; Chordata; Actinopteri; Salmoniformes; Salmonidae
Gene name: sarcoplasmic/endoplasmic reticulum calcium ATPase 2-like
Exons: 21
Source: RefSeq, a predicted model, not a curated record
UUACCACUGAAGCUGAGACAGUAGACCAACGCAAGCCGAGGGCAGCGCAAGGAUUGGACUGGGUGAAUGCAGCCCUCAGCAGUGGCGAUUGUGGCAUUCUUUUCCACCAUUUUUGGGGAGAUAAGAGGACACCCAAAGUAACGUAAACAUUAAUCGAAGGAGAAAGGGUCAUUUUUCGUUUCAAUUAGCUCGUUCAUCAGGCUAAUAAUUUAUUAUUUAUAGCAUCUGGCAGUUAUCUGAAUGCAUAUUUCACAGUUGGCACACUGUAUUUCUUCUUCUGAAAGUGUUGACUUUUAAAGAGACGCAGGCGGCUGAGUAAACGAAGUACAACUGACAUAAGGAGCCGAUUGUCCACCAUGGAUAACGCUCACACAAAGAGUGUUGAAGAAGUUUACAGCGAUUUUUCUGUCAACGAAAGCACGGGACUUGGUUUGGACCAGGUGAAACGUCAGAAGGAGAAAUGGGGAUCGAACGAGCUACCUGCUGAAGAAGGGAAGUCUCUAUGGGAGCUUGUUGUUGAACAGUUUGAAGAUUUACUUGUACGAAUUCUUCUGCUGGCAGCUUGUAUAUCUUUUGUCUUGGCCUUGUUCGAGGAUGGAGAAGAAACAAUCACAGCCUUUGUGGAGCCUUUUGUAAUCUUACUCAUUCUUAUAGCCAAUGCCAUAGUGGGUGUGUGGCAGGAACGCAAUGCUGAGGAUGCCAUUGAAGCCCUUAAAGAGUACGAGCCUGAGAUGGGCAAGGUCUACCGCCAGGACAGGAAGACUGUUCAGAGGAUCAAGGCCAAAGAAAUCGUGCCUGGAGACAUUGUGGAGGUUGCUGUUGGAGACAAGGUUCCUGCAGACAUCCGUCUUACCUCCAUCAAAUCUACAACCCUGAGAGUAGACCAGUCCAUCCUGACCGGCGAGUCGGUCUCUGUCAUCAAGCACACCGACCCAGUGCCUGACCCUAGAGCUGUCAACCAGGACAAGAAGAACAUGCUCUUCUCUGGCACCAACAUCUCGUCUGGCAAGGCUAUUGGGGUUGUGGUGGCUACGGGUGUGAACACUGAGAUUGGUAAGAUCCGUGAUGAGAUGGCAGCCACUGAGCAGGAGAAGACCCCCCUGCAGCAGAAGCUGGAUGAGUUUGGGGAGCAGCUGUCCAAGGUCAUCUCUCUGAUCUGCAUCGCUGUGUGGAUGAUCAACAUCGGCCACUUCAAUGACCCCGUCCACGGAGGCUCCUGGAUCCGCGGCGCCGUCUACUACUUUAAAAUUGCCGUGGCCCUGGCAGUGGCCGCCAUCCCCGAGGGUCUGCCUGCUGUCAUCACCACCUGCCUGGCCCUGGGCACCCGCCGCAUGGCCAAGAAGAACGCCAUCGUCCGCAGCCUGCCCUCUGUGGAGACCCUGGGCUGCACCUCUGUCAUCUGCUCCGACAAGACCGGCACCCUCACCACCAACCAGAUGUCUGUCUGCAGGAUGUUCAUCCUUGACAAGGCCGAGGGGAACAGCUGCUCUCUGAAUGAGUUCACCAUCACCGGCUCUACCUACGCCCCUGAAGGAGAAGUGUACCAGGAUGGCAGACUAGUGAAGUCCUCUGCGUAUGAUGGUCUAGUGGAGAUUGCCACCAUCUGCGCCCUGUGCAAUGACUCCUCUCUGGACUUCAAUGAGGCCAAAGGUGUAUAUGAGAAGGUUGGCGAGGCCACAGAGACGGCCCUCACCUGCCUGGUGGAGAAGAUGAAUGCGUUUGACACCGAUGUCAAAGGCCUGACCAAGAUCGACAGGGCCAAUGCCUGCAACUCUGUGAUCAUGCAGCUGAUGAAGAAGGAAUUCACCCUGGAGUUCUCCAGAGACAGGAAGUCAAUGUCUGUGUACUGCACCCCCAACAAGGCCCGCUCCUCCCUCGGAAAGAUGUUUGUCAAGGGUGCCCCCGAGGGAGUUAUUGACAGAUGUACUCAUGUCAGAGUGGGCACCAGCAAGGUUGCCAUGACCCCGGGCAUCAAAGAGAGGAUCAUGUCUACGAUCCGUGGGUACGGAACGGGGCGUGACACCCUGCGCUGCCUGGCUCUGGCCACCCGGGACGCCCCACCUAGGAAGGAGGACAUGGUGCUGGUCGAUUGUGCCCGCUUCGUUGAUUAUGAGUCUGACCUGACCUUCGUUGGCUGCGUUGGCAUGCUGGACCCUCCCAGGACCGAGGUGGCUGCCUCCAUCAAGCUGUGCCGCCUAGCCGGCAUCCGCGUCAUCAUGAUCACCGGCGACAACAAGGGCACUGCCGUGGCCAUCUGCCGCCGUAUCGGCAUCCUGGGUGAAGAAGACGACGUGGACAAAAUGGCGUUCACUGGCCGCGAGUUUGACGACCUGUCCCCCCAGGCCCAACGCGAUGCCGUUACCAACGCCCGCUGCUUCGCCCGUGUCGAGCCCUCCCACAAGUCCAAGAUCGUUGAGUUCCUGCAGGCCAUGGACGAGAUCACAGCCAUGACUGGUGAUGGAGUGAAUGAUGCCCCUGCCUUGAAGAAGGCAGAGAUUGGCAUCGCCAUGGGCUCUGGCACUGCCGUGGCCAAGUCAGCCUCUGAGAUGGUCCUGGCCGAUGACAACUUCUCUUCCAUCGUGGCGGCUGUGGAGGAGGGCAGAGCCAUCUACAACAACAUGAAGCAGUUCAUCCGCUACCUCAUCUCCUCCAAUGUGGGAGAGGUCGUCUGCAUCUUCCUGACGGCUGCUCUGGGCUUCCCUGAGGCUCUGAUCCCAGUUCAGCUGUUGUGGGUCAACCUGGUGACAGACGGUCUCCCUGCCACCGCACUGGGCUUCAACCCCCCUGACCUGGACAUCAUGAACAAGCCCCCCCGCAGUGCCAAGGAGCCCCUCAUCUCUGGAUGGCUCUUCUUCAGAUACCUGGCCAUCGGAUGCUAUGUGGGAGCUGCCACAGUAGGAGCUGCUACCUGGUGGUUUGUGGCUGCUGAGGAUGGCCCUAUGAUCUCUCUGUACCAGCUGAGCCACUUCCUGCAGUGUUCCCCUGACAACCCUGACUUUGCUGACCUAGAGUGUAAUGUGUUUGAGUCCCCCUACCCCAUGACAAUGGCCCUGUCUGUGCUUGUCACCAUUGAGAUGUGCAAUGCCCUUAACAGCCUGUCAGAGAACCAGUCCCUGCUGCGUAUGCCCCCCUGGGAGAACAUCUGGCUGCUGGGGGCCAUCUGCCUCUCCAUGUCCCUCCACUUCCUCAUCCUCUAUGUGGAGCCACUGCCCGUCAUCUUCCAGAUCACCCCUCUGGACCUGACCCAGUGGCUGGUGGUGCUGAAGAUCUCCCUGCCUGUCAUCCUGCUGGAUGAGCUGCUAAAGUUUGUGGCCAGGAACUACCUGGAACCCGGUAACCAGCCAGAGUCUAAGUCAGCCAGCAAAGGCUGGUCCCUCUCUGCAUGCACAGAGGGCAUCUCCUGGCCCUUUGUGGGCAUCACCCUCCCCCUGAUGCUGUGGCUCUACAGCAUCGACACUAAUGUGUCUGCCCUGUUUUGGUCCUGACUACAGCACACAACCCUCCCAGUGCACCAGUGUGAGUGGAGAUUAACACACGUCUAACGAAAUCCCCCAUUAACCAGGAUCAACUACAACAACCACAUCAACUGCAGUGAGAGCUUAAGUCAACAUUUGUACCUGUGUUGACGACAGAUGUAAUCUGUGAGCCCUCUGCUGGUUUGUCUCCAGGACAUUUUCACCAUUCCGCUUUUUUAUUCUUCUUUUAAGAUAUUCAUAUUUUUAAUGGUGUUAGUUUUGUCAUUUGUCAAUGUGUCUUCAUUUAAUAUCAAGCUUUUGGUUCUUUUUUUGCUCCCCCUUUUUGAACAGGCAUUUAAAAAAAUCUGCUAUUUAGGAGCUGUCUGACGUGUACAGAGAAUUAACACUAUUUUAUCCAAAUUAAGAUUUUUGUAGCUUUGGGAAGGUGUGUGAAGGGCAGCCAGGUGGUAUAAGGGGCGUGCACAGAACUCAAAUGUUUCUCUUGUUUUCAGUGUGAACUUUGACCUCUAAAGAACUUAAUUUGCACUGAAUCAGAAGUCUGUAACAAAACGUGCAUGUAUUCUGCCCAGGCAUGAAUAACGGGGAUUUCUUCACCAAAUUAAUUAUUGUUCCUUCCCCUGUUUGAGCUCCUCCAUUUGACUUGUUUGUGUUUAUUUUCUGCUCUAGGCAGAGCACAGCUACCUCAAUGCUAUUGAUAUCACAAUUGAUUACUACCUGUGUUCCUCAGUAAGCUUUUCAUAAACAUUGUCAUAUUGAGUGUUGAGGUAUGCACCAUUUCGCUUGUGCAUAAGGAAAUAUAAAGCCCUCAUUUGCCUUUCAUGUUAUUUUAAGAGCUUUUUAAAAGUUUAAUCUGUGUUCUUUUUAUGUUCCUUGAGGGAGGUUAGGGUUAGGACAAAUAUGUAAAUGUUACCUUAGUUCAAUUGAAAGUAGUUUUUUGGAUAUAGACAAGCCUGUCGUUAAACACGUUUACUUGAACACAACAUAUUCUGUCUAUUCUCAUAAAGGUUCACCUUUUUAGGUUUAGUCUUAAUUUACGGACACUGUAGUGUCUUUAUUACAUAACUAUAUUGAUUAUGUAUUGAGCACAUACUGUACUUGAAUAUGUAUAAACACACCAAGUGGCGGAUUUUCUUAUCAGUUGAGCACAAGAUGGAUGCUUUGACGGGACCGUUAUGUGGUCAGGAUUCCCUAUUGGGGUGUAUCACCAAGCGGAGACUGCUUUGGCCAUAGUAUAUAGGCCCAACGCUAAAAUGACUGGCUGGUAGAAGAGUCUGUACAUAUAACACAAAAUAGUAUCUAUGUGUAUAGAGUUUAUAUUAAAGAUGCUCCAUAUCUUUACACUAGUUUACUUGAGCGUGUUUUAGAAACACUGUAGGUAAUAGGUAUUCCUGGAAAGCAUGCCCUCCAAUACCAUGCCAGUAAACGCUUGAGUGUUCUUAAACCUAACUGCUAUUUCUUCCAAUGCCUUCCGCCUGUUUACCCAACACUAGUGCCGUGUAAGCCCGCUCCUCCUAUAAAUCCCUUGUAGGAACUGCAAGGUUUUGUUUUGGUGUUGUGCAUGUGUUUUGAUCAGCACCACAUCUUCCAAGACCUGCAUGUCAAUAAAGAAGAGCUAUCAAGACAUGAUUGAUACAUUUUCAUAAGCAAUUAAAUUACAAAAAAGUAAUAAUCAAAUGUUAUAUGUUUUACCUGAAUGGGUAUAAAUGUUUUUGGAAUCAAAUUAACCAAUCCCUGGUCCAUCCAUCCUUACUACAUGAAGAGCCAUAGGCAGCAUUUACACAUGGCAGCCAAAUUCUGGUCUUUUGCCCAAUUAUUGGUAGUGGAAAAAGAUCAGAAUUGGGUUGCCUGUGUAAAUGCAGCCUUCAAACUGGACAAGACAGAGUUCUUAUGCCAUCUUAAUAAACCUAUGUUAUAGUUUUCUAUUAAUGUACACUAUUCCAUGAUGCAUGUCCUCUGAAGCAGCCAAUUAUUUUAGUAGAUGUGUAAUCGUUAAUGUAUUGAUAAAUGAAAUGGACAUUACCCACAAUAGUACAAAUGUUAAACUCAAACGCCUAUCUUUUCCGGGAUGGGAUAUGUAAAAUAACCAAAGACGCUGUAAUGUGCAACAUGUUUGAAGCAGAUUUUGCAGUAUCUGGGGAGGCGGAGGUGUGGCAAUAGCUGCAGAUCCAUUACCCUGAGAGAAAGUCAGUCCCUUCAAUGGCACGCAUGUUUGCCAAACUGUAAUGUAAUUUCAGAGCUGACGAUUGUAUUGACUUGGGGUUCAGGUAAAUAAAGCAAUUCUACAUUCA